This 64-nucleotide transfer RNA is filed under the name Dipodomys ordii (Ord's kangaroo rat). It matches the Rfam family "tRNA". Rfam says of the family: Transfer RNA (tRNA) molecules are approximately 80 nucleotides in length. Their secondary structure includes four short double-helical elements and three loops (D, anti-codon, and T loops). Further hydrogen bonds mediate the characteristic L-shaped molecular structure. tRNAs have two regions of fundamental functional importance: the anti-codon, which is responsible for specific mRNA codon recognition, and the 3' end, to which the tRNAs corresponding amino acid is attached (by aminoacyl-tRNA synthetases). tRNAs cope with the degeneracy of the genetic code in two manners: having more than one tRNA (with a specific anti-codon) for a particular amino acid; and 'wobble' base-pairing, i.e. permitting non-standard base-pairing at the 3rd anti-codon position. The record is from Rfam by way of RNAcentral. Lineage: Eukaryota; Metazoa; Chordata; Mammalia; Rodentia; Heteromyidae.
GGUGGCUCACCGGUAGAGCACUUGCCUUGCAUGCACCAGGCUCUGGGUUCGAUUCUCAGCACCA